Rhineura floridana is the source of this 1088-nucleotide long non-coding RNA. RefSeq lists it as uncharacterized. The transcript has 3 exons. The record is from RefSeq and is a predicted model, not a curated record. NCBI's taxonomy places the organism in Eukaryota, Metazoa, Chordata, Lepidosauria, Squamata, Rhineuridae.
AGGGGGGGGGCGACAGGAGAGGAAUGCCUUCCUUUUACCUUGGAAAAUCAUCUCUUCUCCAUCUAGUGCAAACACUAUUGCAAGAAGGCCUGAUAGCUCAGGUAACAGGAAGGAGUGCUCCAGGUCUUAAGAGUCUAAGACCUUCUUGCAAGGGUGCUAUGCCAGAGGGAAAAGAGUUUGACAGAGGGCUGGAAGGCCAGUAAAAGCUGCUUUGUGGGCUAGAUCUGGCCCUGGACUGAGGAUUCAUCAACAUGCUCUGUGGCUUCAAAAACGGACUUUCAACAAUCUGAUCACCUCCAAGGCCCUUGUCUUAGACGUCAAGAAAAUCUGGGCUUUCUGAAAUGACAGGGAAGGCAGUAUCACUGUUUAACACUCUGUCAGGCAAUAGAAUUGGGAUGCCUGCCACCUUUUUGUGAGGACCAUCAAGUGUGGUAGAAGUCAUCUGAAACCCCUGAAAACAAAUGCCUCUGAAUGCAGGGAGUCUGUGCUCAAAUCAUUUCUACCACACAUCUGUUUCUACCCUUAUUUGAGCAUGUCUGACAUGAAGGCACCCACUGUCUAACCUAAUCAGUCUGUCUUGUAUGUAAUCAUCACCAUCACCUAGCAGUGACCCCAUGGACUGCAAAUUCUGAUCACCACUGCUGAGGCAUGGACGAUGAGCGCAAAGUAAUCAAUCUGUGCAUUUACCAGCUACUACCACUUAGCAGAAACCAAGAAGGGCAACAAUCAUACAGUUCAGGAGCGACCAUGCUCAAACUGACAGCUAGGAAUGUCUCCAUGCACCACUACAUAGAUUAUAGUUGCUGUCAUGAUUACUAUCAGUACAGCCUGUUUGUUACAGACAGCCCAGGGAAAAUAUAAGCAGCCACAGCAAUUUCUAACUACGUGUACUGCAGUGAUCCUAAAAUAGCCACUUCUUCUUAUAACUGUUAUAUUCAGGGUAAUGUUACACUGGUAUACUAGAUAGCCAUAAUCAUAUUAACUCCCAGCAUGCCUUUGCUAUCCUUAGCAGACAUUGAGCACACACAAAGUGCACUGACAUUAAGAGAGGAUGUGCACGAGUAAUUCUGAGAAAUUAAAGAAAUUAA